Molecule: ribosomal RNA, 918 nt
Filed under: Methanosarcina acetivorans
Lineage: Archaea; Methanobacteriati; Methanobacteriota; Methanomicrobia; Methanosarcinales; Methanosarcinaceae
Description: bacterial SSU rRNA
Rfam family: Archaeal small subunit ribosomal RNA
Source: RNAcentral
UCGGGGUGCAGCAGGCGCGAAAACUUUACAAUGCGGGAAACCGUGAUAAGGGAACACCGAGUGCCAGCAUCAUAUGCUGGCCGUCCAGAUGUGUAAACUACAUCUGUUAGCAAGGGCCGGGCAAGACCGGUGCCAGCCGCCGCGGUAACACCGGCGGCCCGAGUGGUGACCGUUAUUAUUGGGUCUAAAGGGUCCGUAGCCGGUUUGGCCAGUCCUCCGGGAAAUCUGAUAGCUUAACUGUUAGGCUUUCGGGGGAUACUGCCAGGCUUGGAACCGGGAGAGGUAAGAGGUACUACAGGGGUAGGAGUGAAAUCUUGUAAUCCCUGCGAGACCACCUGUGGCGAAGGCGUCUUACCAGAACGGGUUCGACGGUGAGGGACGAAAGCUGGGGGCACGAACCGGAUUAGAUACCCGGGUAGUCCCAGCCGUAAACUAUGCUCGCUAGGUGUCAGGCAUGGCGCGACCGUGUCUGGUGCCGCAGGGAAGCCGUGAAGCGAGCCACCUGGGAAGUACGGCCGCAAGGCUGAAACUUAAAGGAGUUGGCGGGGGAGCACAACAACGGGUGGAGCCUGCGGUUUAAUUGGACUCAACGCCGGACAACUCACCGGGAACGACAGCAAUAUGUAGGCCAGGCUGAAGACCUCGCCUGAAUCGCUGAGAGGAGGUGCAUGGCCGUCGCCAGUUCGUACUGUGAAGCAUCCUGUUAAGUCAGGCAACGAGCGAGACCCGUGCCCACUGUUACCAGCAUAUCCUCCCGGGAUGAUGGGUACUCUGCGGGGACCGCUGAUGUUAAUCAGAGGAAGGUGCGGGCUACGGUAGGUCAUAUGCCCCGAAUUUCCCGGCUACACGCGGCUACAUGAAUGGGACAUGGGCCCUACCUGAAAAGGUUGUAUUUCACAACCAUCCGAAUUCGAUGGG